RNAcentral lists this ribosomal RNA (493 nucleotides) under uncultured bacterium. Its description in RNAcentral is "partial 16S ribosomal RNA". It matches the Rfam family "Bacterial small subunit ribosomal RNA", at positions 28 to 507 of the family's 1533-position model. The record is from RNAcentral.
GGCGAACGCUGGCGGCGUGCUUAACACAUGCAAGUCGACGACGCUACUGAGUAGCAAUAUUUAGUAGUGGAGUGGCGCAAGGGUGAGUAAUGUAUACGUAACCAACCCAUCGGAGACGGAUAACAUUUCGAAAGGGAUGCUAAAACGGCAUGAAGCCACGAUUUCGCAUGAGAUUGUGGUUAAAGAACCGGUAACAGGUUGCCGAUGGCUGGGCGUAUAUCCGAUUAGCUAGUUGGUAGUGUAAUGGACUACCAAGGCGACGAUCGGUAGCUGGUCUGAGGGGAUGCUCAGCCACACUGGCACUGGGACACGGGCCAGACUGCUACGGGAGGCAGCAGUGGGGAAUAUUGGGCAAUGGCCGCAAGGGUGACCCAGCAACGCCGCGUGGAGGAUGGAGGCCGUAGGGUUGUAAACUCUGACAAGCAGGGAAGAACGGCUAUGGUAAAAGGCCAUAGAGUGACGGUACCUGCCUGAAGCCCCGGCUAACUACGUG